This 492-nucleotide ribosomal RNA is filed under the name uncultured bacterium. RNAcentral describes it as "partial 16S ribosomal RNA". It matches the Rfam family "Bacterial small subunit ribosomal RNA", at positions 29 to 507 of the family's 1533-position model. The record is from RNAcentral.
AGUGAACGCUGGCGGUAGGCCUAACACAUGCAAGUCGAACGGCAGCACAGUAAGUGCUUGCUAUUACGGGUGGCGAGUGGCGGACGAGUGAGGAAUACAUCGGAAUCUACUUUUUCGUGGGGGAUAACGUAGGGAAACUUACGCUAAUACCGCAUACGACCUACGGGUGAAGGCAGGGGAUCUUCGGACCUUGCGCGAUUGAAUGAGCCGAUGUCGGAUUAGCUAGUUGGGGGGGUAAAGGCCCACCAAGGCGAGGAUCCGUAGCUGGUCUGAGAGGAUGAUCAGCCACACUGGAACUGAGACGAGGCCCAGACUCCUACGGGAGGCAGCGGUGGGGAAUAUUGGACUAUGGGAUGAAGGCUGGUCCGGCCAUGCCGAGUGGGUGAAAGAGGCCUUCGGGUUGUAAAGCCAUUUUGUUGGGAAAGAAAGGCAGCGGGUUAAUACCCCGCGGUUCUGACGGUACCCAAAGAAUAAGCACCGGCUAACUUCGUG